UCUGGNCGUACGGNCUCGCNGGCGGUCUGUCNGUCGGAUGUGAAAUCCCCGGUANNNACCUGGGAACUGCAUUCGAAACUGGCAGGCUAGAGUCUUGUAGAGGGGGGUAGAAUUCCNGGUGUAGCGGUGAAAUGCGUAGAGAUCUGGAGGAAUACCGGUGGCGAAGGCGGCCCCCUGGACAAAGACUGACGCUCAGGUGCGAAAGCGUGGGGAGCAAACGGGAUUAGAUACCCUGGUAGUCCACGCCGUAAACGAUGUCAACUUGGAGGUUGUGCCCUUGAGGCGUGGCUUCCGGAGCUAACGCGUUAAGUCGACCGCCUGGGGAGUACGGCCGCAAGGUUAAAACUCACAUGAAUUGACGGGGGCCCGCACAAGCGGUGGAGCAUGUGGUUUAAUUCCAUUAAACGCGAAGAACCUUACCUACUCUUGACAUCCAGAGAACUUANCAGAGAUGCUUUGGUGCCUUCGGGAACUCUGAGACAGGUGCUGCAUGGCUGUCGUCAGCUCGUGUUGUGAAAUGUUGGGUUAAGUCCCGCAACGAGCGCAACCCUUAUCCUUUGUUGCCAGCGGUCCGGCCGGGAACUCAAAGGAGACUGCCAGUGAUAAACUGGAGGAAGGUGGGGAUGACGUCAAGUCAUCAUGGCCCUUACGAGUAGGGCUACACACGUGCUACAAUGGCGCAUACAAAGAGAAGCGAACUCGCGAGAGCAAGCGGACCUCAUAAAGUGCGUCGUAGUCCGGAUUGGAGUCUGCAACUCGACUCCNUGAAGUCGGAAUCGCUAGUAAUCGUAGAUCAGAAUGCUACNGUGAAUACGUUCCCGGGCCUUG
This 828-nucleotide ribosomal RNA is filed under the name Enterobacter ludwigii. RNAcentral describes it as "bacterial SSU rRNA". It matches the Rfam family "Bacterial small subunit ribosomal RNA", at positions 553 to 1383 of the family's 1533-position model. Lineage: Bacteria; Pseudomonadati; Pseudomonadota; Gammaproteobacteria; Enterobacterales; Enterobacteriaceae. The record is from RNAcentral.